CAGCCGUAAACAAUGUGCGUUAGGUGUGUCGGUAACCACGCGUUACUGAUGCGCCGAAGAGAAAUCGUGAAACGCACCACCUGGGAAGUACGGUCGCAAGGCUGAAACUUAAAGGAAUUGGCGGGGGAGCACCACAACAGGUGGAGCCUGCGGUUUAAUUGGACUCAACGCCGGGAAGCUCACCGGAUAGGACAGCAGAAUGAUUGCCGGGCUGAAGACCCUGCAUGACUAGCUGAGAGGUGGUGCAUGGGCGUCAGUGACU
Molecule: ribosomal RNA, 262 nt
Filed under: uncultured archaeon
Lineage: Archaea
Description: partial 16S ribosomal RNA
Rfam family: Archaeal small subunit ribosomal RNA
Source: RNAcentral